UGAGGAAUAUUGGUCAAUGGACGCAAGUCUGAACCAGCCAAGUAGCGUGCAGGAUGACGGCCCUAUGGGUUGUAAACUGCUUUUAUAUGGGGAUAAAGUGGGGAACGUGUUCCCUUUUGCAGGUACCAUAUGAAUAAGGACCGGCUAAUUCCGUGCCAGCAGCCGAGGUAAUACGGAAGGUUCGGGCGUUAUCCGGAUUUAUUGGGUUUAAAGGGAGCGUAGGCCGUUUGGUAAGCGUGUUGUGAAAUGUAGGAGCUCAACUUCUAGAUUGCAGCGCGAAAUGUCAUACUUGAGUUCGCACAACGUAGGCGGAAUUCAUGGUGUAGCGGUGAAAUGCUUAGAUAUCAUGAAGAACUCCGAUUGCGAAGGCAGCUUACGGGAGCGCAACUGACGCUGAAGCUCGAAGGUGCGGGUAUCGAACAGG
This 424-nucleotide ribosomal RNA is filed under the name Verrucomicrobiota bacterium. Its description in RNAcentral is "Verrucomicrobia bacterium partial 16S ribosomal RNA". It matches the Rfam family "Bacterial small subunit ribosomal RNA", at positions 355 to 776 of the family's 1533-position model. Lineage: Bacteria; Pseudomonadati; Verrucomicrobiota. The record is from RNAcentral.